Molecule: non-coding RNA, 189 nt
Organism: Labrus bergylta (ballan wrasse)
Lineage: Eukaryota; Metazoa; Chordata; Actinopteri; Labriformes; Labridae
Source: RefSeq, a predicted model, not a curated record
AUCAUCUUUGACACCCUACACAAAUCUACGACCGUUGUUGACAACUUUUCCAGCAAACCCUGAAAUCAGACCAUCGCCGUGAGGUAGCCAGUCUGCAACUCAGUGGUGUGCUGAUCCCCAGCCAGCUCCCCAGCUGAUCUCCAUCUCUACCUCUAUCUCGUAUUCUAUCUUUAUCUCUCCCCUCUAUUA